Molecule: ribosomal RNA, 460 nt
Filed under: uncultured bacterium
Lineage: Bacteria
Description: partial 16S ribosomal RNA
Rfam family: Bacterial small subunit ribosomal RNA
Source: RNAcentral
CCUACGGGGGACUGCAGUGAGGAAUAUUGGUCAAUGGGCGUAAGCCUGAACCAGCCAAGUCGCGUGAGGGAUGAAGGUUCUAUGGAUCGUAAACCUCUUUUAUAAGGGAAUAAAGUGCGGGACGUGUCCCGUGUUGUAUGUACCUUAUGAAUAAGGAUCGGCUAACGCCGGGCCAGCAGCCGCGGUAAUACGGAGGAUCCGAGCGUUAUCCGGAUUUAUUGGGUUUAAAGGGUGCGUAGGCGGCCUUUUAAGUCAGCGGUGAAAGUCUGUGGCUCAACCAUAGAAUCGCCGUUGAAACUGGGUGGCUUGCGUAUGUUUGAGGCAUGCGGAAUGCGUGGUGUAGCGGUGACAUGCUUAGAUCUCACGCAGAACCCCGAUUGCGAAGGCAGCCUGCCAAGCCAUGACUGACGCUGAUGCACGAACGCGUGGGGAUCAAACAGGAUUAGAUACCCCUGUAGUC